AGCGAAACACGGUCGACACCGCACCGCCCCCGGACAAAACCAGUCGACGAGAGCAAAGCGAAAACGGAAUCGAACGGAAAUAUGUUGGACGAGUCACUAGCAGAAGCCGCCCCGUGGCAACACUCUUUGCACUGAUGAUUCUUCACUAGAAGAAUUUCUCAAGACCACUUUCGUUCAAGCGUCUUUGAAGAUUAUCAGAUCACGAUGGAAAAUGGUGCCGAUGACGGGAAUAUGAUUUCGAAGAAGAUAAAUGCAAAUCGUCUCCAGUGCCAUGUCUAGUCACGUAGAAAAGAAGCACUCAGGCAAAAGAAAAGAAGAAUCAGGAUGGAUCUUCUAUAAAAUAUAUUCGUUCUUCCGGGAGCAGUGAAAACGUUGGAAGAAAAUCCUGUGAUCGUCAAGCCGUAGAGAUGGGUUGUCGUGGAGAUUGCUCGUCGGAUAAACCGCCGCCUCUCAUCUGUGGCAAUAUCUUCCCCGGAGCUCAACGACUGAGAAAAUCGGGGGAACUGUUAAUAAAAACGGCUGGGAAUUCCGCAAAAACAGAGAGGGAGUCGCUGGAGAGGAAGAUGUGGGCAAAUGUUAUCCCUUUCCGAUUUAUGCGGUGAUUUCGAAAUGCUUUCCGCGUUAAAUAGAGAGUGAUAUAAAAGGGUAAUUUGAACUUACCUUGCAAAUUAUUACAGAGUGUUUGUUUCCCACUCAACGCCAAAACCAAAACUUUAUGAAAAACAUCUUUUUUGCAUAUUAAUAUUUCGAUAUUUAAAGAAAUCAUGACAAGA
Long non-coding RNA from Cimex lectularius (bed bug), 773 nucleotides. RefSeq lists it as uncharacterized. The transcript has 6 exons. The record is from RefSeq and is a predicted model, not a curated record. Lineage: Eukaryota; Metazoa; Arthropoda; Insecta; Hemiptera; Cimicidae.